GAGAAAUCUAGCAACCUGCAAAAAGAAUUUUUAGGCAGAGUAUCAGUAACAGUUUAAAAAUAAAAUUCAAAUCCAGUAACCAAUACUCAUUUCCAUCAUGCAACAAACCAACAAUAGGUUCACCACGUAUAUACAUAACCCAAUUUGUCCUGGAUCUCUUUUGUGCAAGCAUGUCCCAAAUCUAGCUAUGCUAAAUGAAUAAGAAUGUAAUGGAAAAUCAGCAGAGUGCUGACUUCAAUAAAUGGAAUUUAACUACAACUUCUUCCACUCAAAUGAAAUUUCCUAGAAGUAUAAGGAUCAGGAGACUUAAUUUAUAGUUGGCCCCCUUAUGCAGGACUGUCAGAUUACUAAAUAGAAAUUUUAGGAUUUAGUAUAGCAUGCAUUCAGUCAUGACUACAAAAGUAUUCUUAUGGAUUCGUCAAUUUUAGACGACUAUUGAUUGAAUGGGCAAUAAUGUUAAAUAUUCAGACUUUUUUUUUUUGGUC
RNAcentral lists this unclassified non-coding RNA (485 nucleotides) under Hevea brasiliensis (rubber tree). The record is from RNAcentral. Lineage: Eukaryota; Viridiplantae; Streptophyta; Magnoliopsida; Malpighiales; Euphorbiaceae.